GAUGAACGCUGGCGGCGCGCCUAAUACAUGCAAGUCGAGCGAACGGACGAGAAGCUUGCUUCUCUGCUGUUAGCGGCGGACGGGUGAGUAACACGUGGAUAACCUACCUAUAAGACUGGGAUAACUUCGGGAAACCGUAGCUAAUACCGGAUAAUAUUUUGAACCGCAUGGUUCAAAAGUGAAAGACGGUCUUGCUGUCACUUAUAGAUGGAUCCGCGCUGCAUUAGCUAGUUGGUAAGGUAACGGCUUACCAAGGCAACGAUGCAUAGCCGACCUGAGAGGGUGAUCGGCCACACUGGAACUGAGACACGGUCCAGACUCCUACGGGAGGCAGCAGUAGGGAAUCUUCCGCAAUGGGCGAAAGCCUGACGGAGCAACGCCGCGUGAGUGAUGAAGGUCUUCGGAUCGUAAAACUCUGUUAUUAGGGAAGAACAUAUGUGUAAGUAACUGUGCACAUCUUGACGGUACCUAAUCAGAAAGCCACGGCUAACUACGUG
Molecule: ribosomal RNA, 497 nt
Filed under: uncultured bacterium
Lineage: Bacteria
Description: partial 16S ribosomal RNA
Rfam family: Bacterial small subunit ribosomal RNA
Source: RNAcentral